GGGGGGGGGGGGGGGGGGGGGGGGGGGGGGCGGGGCGGGGGGCGGCGGGGGUGGCGGUGGCUGGGGGCGAGCGGGGCACGGGUGAGUGACGCGUAUGUAACCUGCCCGCAACAGGGGGAUAACCCGGCGAAAGUCGGACUCAUACCGCAUAAAACAGGGGUCCCGGCUGGGAAUAUUUGUUAAAGACUUAUCGGCUGCGGAUGGGCAUGCGUACCAUUAGGUAGUUGGUGACGUAACGGCUCACCAAGGCUUCGAUGGUUAUGGGUUCUGAUAGGAAGGUCCCCCACAAUGGUACUGCGACACGGACCAGACUCCUACGGGCGACAGCAGUGAGGAAUACGGGUCAAGGGGCGAGAGCCUGAAACAGCCAAGUCGGGUGAAGGAUGACUGCCAUAUGAGUUGUAUACUUCUUUUAAAAGGGAAUAGUAUGAGAUACGUGUAUUUUAUUGCAUGUACCUAGGGAAUAAGCAACGGCUAACUCCGUG
Molecule: ribosomal RNA, 485 nt
Filed under: uncultured bacterium
Lineage: Bacteria
Description: partial 16S ribosomal RNA
Rfam family: Bacterial small subunit ribosomal RNA
Source: RNAcentral